CCUACGGGGGGCUGCAGUGGGGAAUAUUGGACAAUGGGGGCAACCCUGAUCCAGCCAUGCCGCGUGUGUGAAGAAGGCCCUCGGGUUGUAAAGCACUUUCAGUGAGGAAGAACGCCUGGUGGUUAAUACCCAUCAGGAAAGACAUCACUCACAGAAGAAGCACCGGCUAACUCCGUGCCAGCAGCCGCGGUAAUACGGAGGGUGCGAGCGUUAAUCGGAAUUACUGGGCGUAAAGCGCGCGUAGGUGGCUUGAUAAGCCGGUUGUGAAAGCCCCGGGCUCAACCUGGGAACGGCAUCCGGAACUGUCAAGCUAGAGUGCAGGAGAGGAAGGUAGAAUUCCCGGUGUAGCGGUGAAAUGCGUAGAGAUCGGGAGGAAUACCAGUGGCGAAGGCGGCCUUCUGGACUGACACUGACACUGAGGUGCGAAAGCGUGGGUGGCAAACAGGAUUAGAUACCCCUGUAGUC
This 465-nucleotide ribosomal RNA is filed under the name Vreelandella stevensii. Its description in RNAcentral is "partial 16S ribosomal RNA". It matches the Rfam family "Bacterial small subunit ribosomal RNA", at positions 338 to 795 of the family's 1533-position model. Lineage: Bacteria; Pseudomonadati; Pseudomonadota; Gammaproteobacteria; Oceanospirillales; Halomonadaceae. The record is from RNAcentral.